UACAGAGGUCUCAAGCGUUGUUCGGAUUCAUUGGGCGUAAAGGGUGCGUAGGUGGUGAUGCAAGUCUGGUGUGAAAUCUCGGAGCUCAACUCCGAAAUUGCACCGGAUACUGCGUGACUCGAGGACUGUAGAGGAGAUCGGAAUUCCAGGUGUAGCGGUGAAAUGCGUAGAUAUCUGGAGGAACACCGGUGGCGAAGGCGGCAUCCUGGACCAUUACUGACACUGAAAAGCGAAAGCCAGGGGAGCAAACGGG
RNAcentral lists this ribosomal RNA (253 nucleotides) under uncultured bacterium. RNAcentral describes it as "partial 16S ribosomal RNA". It matches the Rfam family "Bacterial small subunit ribosomal RNA", at positions 524 to 776 of the family's 1533-position model. The record is from RNAcentral.